GACGAACGCUGGCGGCGUGCUUAACACAUGCAAGUCGAACGGAAAGGCCUGCUUUCCCUUGUGGAUUGCGGGUGCUCGAGUGGCGAACGGGUGAGUAACACGUGAGUGAUCUGCCCCCAACUUGGGUAUAAGCCUGGGAAACUGGGUCUAAUUCCCGAUAGGACUGCAGGGUGGUGCCUGUGGUGGAAAACGAUUUUCUAGUGGUUGGGGAUGAGCUCGCGGCCUAUCAGCUUGUUGGUGGGGUAAUGGCCUACCAAGGCGGCGACGGGUAGCCGGCCUGAGAGGGGGGACGGCCACAUUGGGACUGAGACACGGCCCAGACGCCUGCGGGAGGCAGGAGUGGGGAAUAGUGCACAAUGGGCGGAAGCCUGAGGCAGCGACGCCGCGUGGGGGAUGACGGGCUUCGGGUUGUAAACUCCUUUCGACCGCGAGGAAGCCACCUGGUUGGAAGGGUGGUGACGGUAGUGGUAGAAGAAGCACCGGCUAACUACGUG
This 494-nucleotide ribosomal RNA is filed under the name uncultured bacterium. RNAcentral's name for it is "partial 16S ribosomal RNA". It matches the Rfam family "Bacterial small subunit ribosomal RNA", at positions 28 to 507 of the family's 1533-position model. The record is from RNAcentral.